RNAcentral lists this transfer RNA (90 nucleotides) under bacterium. RNAcentral describes it as "tRNA-Ser". It matches the Rfam family "tRNA". From Rfam's summary of the family: Transfer RNA (tRNA) molecules are approximately 80 nucleotides in length. Their secondary structure includes four short double-helical elements and three loops (D, anti-codon, and T loops). Further hydrogen bonds mediate the characteristic L-shaped molecular structure. tRNAs have two regions of fundamental functional importance: the anti-codon, which is responsible for specific mRNA codon recognition, and the 3' end, to which the tRNAs corresponding amino acid is attached (by aminoacyl-tRNA synthetases). tRNAs cope with the degeneracy of the genetic code in two manners: having more than one tRNA (with a specific anti-codon) for a particular amino acid; and 'wobble' base-pairing, i.e. permitting non-standard base-pairing at the 3rd anti-codon position. The record is from RNAcentral. RNAcentral also lists the same sequence under 2 other names.
GGAGGGGUCGCAUAGUGGUCUAGUGCGCCAUCUUGGAAAGGUGGUGUAGGGGCAACUCUACCGAGGGUUCGAAUCCCUCUCCCUCCGCCA